GAUGAACGCUGGCGGCGUGCCUAAUACAUGCAAGUCGAGCGAACAGAUAAGGAGCUUGCUCCUUUGACGUUAGCGGCGGACGGGUGAGUAACACGUGGGUAAACUACCUAUAAGACUGGGAUAACUUCGGGAAACCGGAGCUAAUACCGGAUAACAUUUGGAACCGCAUGGUUCUAAAGUGAAAGAUGGUUUUGCUAUCACUUAUAGAUGGACCCGCGCCGUAUUAGCUAGUUGGUAAGGUAACGGCUUACCAAGGCGACGAUACGUAGCCGACCUGAGAGGGUGAUCGGCCACACUGGAACUGAGACACGGUCCAGACUCCUACGGGAGGCAGCAGUAGGGAAUCUUCCGCAAUGGGCGAAAGCCUGACGGAGCAACGCCGCGUGAGUGAUGAAGGGUUUCGGCUCGUAAAACUCUGUUAUUAGGGAAGAACAAAUGUGUAAGUAACUGUGCACGUCUUGACGGUACCUAAUCAGAAAGCCACGGCUAACUACGUG
Molecule: ribosomal RNA, 497 nt
Filed under: uncultured bacterium
Lineage: Bacteria
Description: partial 16S ribosomal RNA
Rfam family: Bacterial small subunit ribosomal RNA
Source: RNAcentral